Molecule: small RNA, 104 nt
Filed under: Marmota monax (woodchuck)
Lineage: Eukaryota; Metazoa; Chordata; Mammalia; Rodentia; Sciuridae
Source: RNAcentral
GCUGGGCACAGUGGUGCGUACCUGUAGUCCUAGGUACCCGGGAAGCCUGAGUCAGGAGGAUAAUUUGAGUCCAGGCUGGGCAACAUAGUGAGACUCCAUCUCAA